UUUUAACAAACAAUUUCGAGAAAGAAGUACGACGCCGUGAAAAUAGGUAGAGCUCUGAACAGUACUUAGCCGGCAAUUCAACAUCAUUACAGAUUGAGAUGAUUAUAACGAAGUUAGAAAUUAUCAAAAUGCUUAAUUGCGAGCAUGUUGUUUUGGAUUUCUCUACUGAACAACAACAGA
Long non-coding RNA from Glossina fuscipes, 180 nucleotides. RefSeq lists it as uncharacterized. Lineage: Eukaryota; Metazoa; Arthropoda; Insecta; Diptera; Glossinidae. The transcript is spliced from 3 exons. The record is from RefSeq and is a predicted model, not a curated record.